Molecule: ribosomal RNA, 425 nt
Filed under: uncultured bacterium
Lineage: Bacteria
Description: bacterial SSU rRNA
Rfam family: Bacterial small subunit ribosomal RNA
Source: RNAcentral
AGCGAACGCUGGCGGCAGGCUUAACACAUGCAAGUCGAGCGGGCGUAGCAAUACGUCAGCGGCAGACGGGUGAGUAACGCGUGGGAACAUACCUUUUGGUUCGGAACAACACAGGGAAACUUGUGCUAAUACCGGAUAAGCCCUUACGGGGAAAGAUUUAUCGCCGAAAGAUUGGCCCGCGUCUGAUUAGCUAGUUGGUGAGGUAAUGGCUCACCAAGGCGACGAUCAGAGCUGGUCUGAGAGGAUGAUCAGCCACAUUGGGACUGAGACACGGCCCAGACUCCUACGGGAGGCAGCAGUGGGGAAUACUGGACAAUGGGACGAAAGCCUGAUCCAGCAAUGCCGCGUGAGUGAUGAAGGCCGUUAGGGUUGUAAAGCUUCGUUUUACCCGGGAUGAUAAUGACAGUACCGGGAGAAUAAGCUCC